This 254-nucleotide ribosomal RNA is filed under the name uncultured bacterium. Its description in RNAcentral is "partial 16S ribosomal RNA". It matches the Rfam family "Bacterial small subunit ribosomal RNA", at positions 524 to 776 of the family's 1533-position model. The record is from RNAcentral.
UACGUAGGGACCAAGCGUUGUUCGGAUUUACUGGGCGUAAAGGGCGCGUAGGCGGCGCUGUAAGUCACUUGUGAAAUCUCUGAGCUUAACUCAGAACGGCCAAGUGAUACUGCAGUGCUAGAGUGCGGAAGGGGCAAUCGGAACUCUUGGUGUAGCGGUGAAAUGCGUAGAUAUCAAGAGGAACACCUGAGGUGAAGACGGGUUGCUGGGCCGACACUGACGCUGACAGCGCGAAAGCCAGGGGAGCAAACGGG